GGGGCUCCCGCCGCCGACCCGGGACUGGCGGGGAGGAAGGCGGGCGGAGGGGACGCCGCGCCCGAGCCGCUCCUCUGGAUGGCGACAGAGACGGCCUGGCGCGCCCGCAGCCUGGGCACCCCGGAGGACGGCCUGGCCGGGUGAAGUUUGCGGACUCGGGCCUUCCGGGUCCCCUCCGCUGCCGCCGCCGAGGCCUGGAAGGCUGAGGGUGGGGGCCAGACGUCUCCUAAGGUUGGCGGCUAAUAGGACUCCUGCCCCGGGACUCACAAGAUCUCCAUCCGGCACAGGGGCUGGGGCCUUGAGCACCCCGAGAGCUUCUUUUGGAGCCAGAGACCCUUUUCUGAGGAGCCAGUAGAGGGCCUGCGAGUCGGAUUGAGCAACCAGCGAGAAGCAGCGUCCUCCCUGCAUCUUGAGGCCUGGUCCAGGGAGGUGACUGCAGAGGUUGGGGGUCCUGACAACUUUGGGGUGGUCACACACCCCUUGCCUCUGGAUGUGCAGGGUGGGCAUGGGACCCUGGCAGGGAGGGCCUUCCUCGAUGGGAUUCUGUGGAGCCAACCACUGAUGCCCAGGUCUUCACCUUCACCACUUCAUUACUUCCACCAAAGCCUUUUAUGCUGCUAAAAAGGACGUGGCUUUUAAAAUGUGACAGCUUCCAUUUCAUCCCGUCCAUGCCGAACUCCUGCGCCAGACAUGCCUUCAUUCAGCCUCUACUCGUGGAGCACCUACUAGGGCCAGGCACUGGGGCUGGGAAAGCCAACAAGACAUAGAGUUUCUGUCAGUCUGGGAAGCAGACAAGGAAACAAUUCCAGUGCAAUGUGGCAGCCGUCACGAUGGGAGGGAGUGGAGAGCCAGGAGGGAGCAUUUACCCUGAAUCAUGCUCUCGAGCGCAGCCAGGUGUGUGCCAGGGCGGGCUUCCAGUGCCAGGGCGGGCUUCUGGUAGGCUGCU
Molecule: long non-coding RNA, 946 nt
Organism: Sapajus apella (tufted capuchin)
Lineage: Eukaryota; Metazoa; Chordata; Mammalia; Primates; Cebidae
Exons: 3
Source: RefSeq, a predicted model, not a curated record